GAUGAAGAACGUAGCGAAAUGCGAUACGUAGUGUGAAUUGCAGAAUUCCGUGAACCAUCGAAUCUUUGAACGCAAAUUGCGCUCGAGGCCUCGGCUAAGAGCAUGUCUGGCUCAGCGUCGGCUUACUACCCUCAAUCAAUUACCUUGUGAUGACUGGUUGGAGCUGGCUUUCCGGUGUUCCAAUCAGGUUGCCGGUCAGCUGAAAAACAUUCACGCUGUGGAAGUCGCUUUCCCUUCAAAAAGGAAAGCCGAGUUCCGAUUUGGUAGGUGACCUUUGCCGGUUGCAUGCCUUCGUUGCUCGUUUUGGCUUUCAUGAUAGCGUGUGCAGGACGCCAUUUUGGCUUUCGACCUGAGCUCAGGCAAGAACACCCGCUGAACUUAAGCAUAUCAAUAAGCGGAGGA
This 402-nucleotide unclassified non-coding RNA is filed under the name soil metagenome. Its description in RNAcentral is "partial contains 5.8S ribosomal RNA, internal transcribed spacer 2, and large subunit ribosomal RNA". The stretch from base 1 to 120 matches the Rfam family "5.8S ribosomal RNA", at positions 35 to 154 of the family's 154-position model. The record is from RNAcentral.